This 497-nucleotide ribosomal RNA is filed under the name uncultured bacterium. RNAcentral's name for it is "partial 16S ribosomal RNA". It matches the Rfam family "Bacterial small subunit ribosomal RNA", at positions 28 to 507 of the family's 1533-position model. The record is from RNAcentral.
GACGAACGCUGGCGGCGUGCCUAAUACAUGCAAGUUGAGCGAUGAAGCUUGGUGCUUGCACCAAUUUGAAGAGCGGCGAACGGGUGAGUAACGCGUGGGGAAUCUGCCUUUGAGCGGGGGAUAACAUUUGGAAACGAAUGCUAAUACCGCAUAAUAACUUUAAACAUAAGUUUUAAGUUUGAAAGAUGCAAUUGCAUCACUCAAAGAUGAUCCCGCGUUGUAUUAGCUAGUUGGUGAGGUAAAGGCUCACCAAGGCGAUGAUACAUAGCCGACCUGAGAGGGUGAUCGGCCACAUUGGGACUGGGACACGGCCCAAACUCCUACGGGAGGCAGCAGUAGGGAAUCUUCGGCAAUGGACGAAAGUCUGACCGAGCAACGCCGCGUGAGUGAAGAAGGUUUUCGGAUCGUAAAACUCUGUUGGUAGAGAAGAACGUUGGUGAGAGUGGAAAGCUCAUCAAGUGACGGUAACUACCCAGAAAGGGACGGCUAACUACGUG